GAUGAAGAACGCAGCGAAAUGCGAUAAGUAAUGUGAAUUGCAGAAUUCAGUGAAUCAUCGAAUCUUUGAACGCACCUUGCGCCCUUUGGCUAUUCCGAAGGGCAUGCCUGUUUGAGUAUCAUGAACACCUCAACUCUCAUGGCUUGCCAUGAUGAGCUUGGACUAUGGGGGUCUUGCUGGCCUGUGGUCGGCUCCUCUCAAAUGAAUCAGCUUGCCAGUGUUUGGUGGCAUCACAGGUGUGAUAACUAUCUACGCUUGUGGUUUUCCACCAGGUAACCUUCAGCAAUGGAGGUUCGCUGGGGCUCAUAAAUGUCUCUCCUCAGCGAGGACAGCUCUUUGAACGUUUUAUCUCAAAUCAGGUAGGACUACCCGCUGAACUUAAGCAUAUCAAUAAGCGGAGGA
This 402-nucleotide unclassified non-coding RNA is filed under the name soil metagenome. RNAcentral's name for it is "partial contains 5.8S ribosomal RNA, internal transcribed spacer 2, and large subunit ribosomal RNA". The stretch from base 1 to 121 matches the Rfam family "5.8S ribosomal RNA", at positions 35 to 154 of the family's 154-position model. The record is from RNAcentral.